RNAcentral lists this ribosomal RNA (496 nucleotides) under uncultured bacterium. RNAcentral's name for it is "partial 16S ribosomal RNA". It matches the Rfam family "Bacterial small subunit ribosomal RNA", at positions 28 to 506 of the family's 1533-position model. The record is from RNAcentral.
GAUGAACGCUGGCGGCGUGCCUAAUACAUGCAAGUCGAGCGAACAGACGAGGAGCUUGCUCCUCUGACGUUAGCGGCGGACGGGUGAGUAACACGUGGAUAACCUACCUAUAAGACUGGGAUAACUUCGGGAAACCGGAGCUAAUACCGGAUAAUAUAUUGAACCGCAUGGUUCAAUAGUGAAAGACGGUUUUGCUGUCACUUAUAGAUGGAUCCGCGCUGCAUUAGCUAGUUGGUAAGGUAACGGCUUACCAAGGCGACGAUGCGUAGCCGACCUGAGAGGGUGUUCGGCCACACUGGAACUGAGACACGGUCCAGACUCCUACGGGAGGCAGCAGUAGGGAAUCUUCCGCAAUGGGCGAAAGCCUGACGGAGCAACGCGGCGUGGGUGAUGAAGGUCUUCGGAUCGUAAAACUCUGUUAUUAGGGAAGAACAAAUGUGUAAGUAACUAUGCACGUCUUGACGGGACCUAAUCAGAAAGCCACGGCUAACUACGU